CCCUUAGAUGUUCUGGGCCGCACGCGCGCUACACUGAUUCAUGCAACAAGUUUUGUCCUUGGCUGAUAGGCCUGGGUAAUCUUUGAACGUGAAUCGUGAUGGGGAUAGAUGAUUGCAAUUAUUCAUCUUCAACGAGGAAUUCCUAGUAAACGCAAGUCAUCAGCUUGCAUUGAUUACGUCCCUGCCCUUUGUACACACCGCCCGUCGCACCUACCGAUUGAAUGGUCCGGUGAAAUCUCCGGACUGGCGUGAGUCGGAGCAAUCUGACAAACGCCGGAAAGUUGAUUAAACCUUACCAUUUAGAGGAAGGUGAAGUCGUAACA
Molecule: ribosomal RNA, 323 nt
Filed under: uncultured eukaryote
Lineage: Eukaryota
Description: partial 18S ribosomal RNA
Rfam family: Eukaryotic small subunit ribosomal RNA
Source: RNAcentral